Molecule: long non-coding RNA, 2464 nt
Organism: Macadamia integrifolia
Lineage: Eukaryota; Viridiplantae; Streptophyta; Magnoliopsida; Proteales; Proteaceae
Exons: 3
Source: RefSeq, a predicted model, not a curated record
CUUUUAUUAAUCAACUAAGGGUUUUAGCUGGUGAUUGGAACUCAAUCCUUGACCUUGGGGAUAAAAUUGGUGGGCGACCGUGUACAUUGGAUCAAUGUCAAGUCUUUAGGGAUUUUGUGAAUGAUGUUGCUCUUGUCAAUCUCCAUUUUUCUUGGUCAUUCUUUUACUUGGGAUAAUCGGAAGUGGGGUGUUCGCCGCAUUUAAGAAAGAUUGGAUCGAUUUCUUGUGUCCAGUGAUCGGCUUUCUCUGCACCUAGGAGCUCUUGUCAAACAUAAAAUGGUGGUGUCCUCUGAUCACAAAGCUCUAAUUCUAUUGGAGGAUGGGUUUUUCUGCAAGGGCUGAUGCCCCUCUCGUUUUGAACAUUUUUGGCUUUCAGAACCCUCUUUUCUUGAGGUGGUUGAAGAUGCUUGGCACAAUCAGAUAAGAGGUAUGCCUUCUUUUCAGCUUAUUUCCUAGUUGGGAUUUCUUAGUGAUCAAUUGAAGAGGUGGAAUAAGGAGGUGGUUGGGAAUUUAGAAGGCCAUGUUUCCUUUCUUCGGUGGAGGAUCUUGGUCAUGUUUCUGCUGGUCAUCGCACUUCAUCUUGGUUUGCGGAAGAGAAUCGUCUUAGAGCUACCUUGCUUCUUUGCAUUUCUCAAGUUAAAGUGAAAUGGGCUCAAAAGUCUCGAUUACAGUGGGUGCAACGAGGAGAUACUAAUACCCGCUUUUUCCAUUAUCGAUUGUUCAACGUCGGGCGAGAAAUCAUACUUCUUCUCUUAAUCAUGUCGAGGUUUGUUUGACGGAUGCUACCCUUAUUGGAGAUGCUUUUCAAACUCAUUUUAAGCACAUCUACUCUGCUUCGUCCAUUGAGAGUAUGCCAUCCUCUAUGGCUCCUGGACCGGAUGGUUCCACUGGUGGUUUCUUUCAUGCUUCUUGGAAUAUUGUUGGGAAGGAGGUUUUUGCAGCCGUGAAAGCUUUUUUUCAUUCGGGCACCUUUGCUAAGUCCUUCAAUGCAACAUUUAUCACUCUUAUUCCAAAGGAUGUCUGCUCGUAAAGGAAAGGCAGCUGCUUCUUCAUCUAGAAGCGGGCAAGCUUCCAGUAGGAAGAAGAAAGGUGCCGCUUCCAAUUCUUCAGCAUCUCGGGCUAGAUCUUUCAAAGACCGAUCCAAAGAUAUAGAGAAUUAUAAUGAAGAGGUCUUCUACAGUCUUGAGGCUGCACUCUCUUAGGAUACCUUCACCAAGAGACCCGUGUUGAUGGAGAAAUCUGUGGUGGUAGAGGAUUUCACUCGAGUUCAAUUGCUCGAGAGACUCACGACCCUGGGUUGGGAGGUUAUGCUAUCUAUUGAUCAUCAGUGCUACCCCAAUCUCGUCCGGUUAUUCUACUACAGCCUACAGGUGGCUUGUGAUAACAGGAUGUACACUCUCACUAGUAGGGUGAAAGGUCGAGAUAUUAGGCUACCACUCGACUUAUUGGCUAAGAUCCUAGGUAUCUCCAUGGAGGGUACCUAGUACUUCUGCCCUCUUAGGGGUAAGGCCUUGGGUCCCCAUAUGAGUGAGUCUCUCCAGAAUCACAUCUACCAGACCAUUUGUGGUAGCGCCAUUCGCCCUGAGUCUAAGACUGCUUUUCUCUCAAAGGUCCGAGUUUUCAGUCGAUUGGUAUAGUUUAACCUGCUUCCCCGAUUCGGGCAUGGGAAUCAGGUGAAUUUCAUGGCUGCAUAUGUGGCCUACUGUCUCUACACUGCUUUGGAUCAUGCUCCACAUCUGUGCCUUCCCUAUGUGAUCAUAAAGACUAUGGAGUUCCAUGCAUCCCAUCCAGCUGAUGGCAACCACCCCUAUGCACGGUCUCUCACCAAGGUAUUUGAGCACUUCCAAGUAGCACUAGAGGGUGAGGUGGGUAGUGCUCUUGUGGACAGAUUCGGUUAGGGCAUCUUGUAUAAGGUGAGUUUGUUUCAUCUGAUGGAGCCAGCUAUGGGGGAGGCAGCCCAAGAGGAGGGCGAUGAUGAGGACUAUAUCUCCGAGGAGGAGGAGGAUAUAGAGAUGGACGUUGAGAUGGAGGAUAAGGUCCCCCUCAGAUUAGUUCCACCUUCUCCAGGUAGAGCCUUUGAUUUCCAGGGUAUGGUGGCCGGACUAAAGACACUACAGGAGGGUCAGGAGAAACUCCUGGCAGGGCAGGCAGCUAUGAAGGAGACUCAGGCAUAGACAUCGAUGAUAAAGACCAUGCCUUAGACUUAACCUCUAGAGACAUAUUGAGGAGUCUAAGGUACCUUCAGGAAGACAUGGAUUUAGUGCACCACCGAUUCGAUUACUAUAAUCGUAGCUUGUGUAUUAACUCAAGAGAAUGGCUGGAGGAAGUCAUUGACUUGGAUGACAUUGAUGAUGAAGACCAGUGAUACUGUUGCUGUUUUUUUUUUUCUUUUCUUUCUUAUGAGAUGUAAUGUGGGAAUUCUAUCUUCUUCUCCUCUUUCUUUUCUAUUCUCUUUUCCUUUAUU